AUUGAACGCUGGCGGCAGGCCUAACACAUGCAAGUCGAACGGUAACAGGAAGAAGCUUGCUUCUUUGCUGACGAGUGGCGGACGGGUGAGUAAUGUCUGGGAAACUGCCUGCUGGAGGGGGAUAACUACUGGAAACGGUAGCUAAUACCGCAUAACGUCGCAAGACCAAAAAGGGGGACCUUCGGGCCUCUUGCCAUCGGAUGUGCCCAGAUGGGAUUAGCUAGGAGGUGGGGUAACGGCUCACCUAGGCGACGAUCCGUAGCUGGUCUGAGAGGAUGACCAGCCACACUGGAACUGAGACACGGUCCAGACUCCUACGGGAGGCAGCAGUGGGGAAUAUUGCACAAUGGGCGCAAGCCUGAUGCAGCCAUGCCGCGUGUAUGAAGAAGGCCUUCGGGUUGUAAAGUACUUUCAGCGGGGAGGAAGGGAGUAAAGUUAAUACCUUUGCUCAUUGACGUUACCCGCAGAAGAAGCACCGGCUAACUCCGUG
This 490-nucleotide ribosomal RNA is filed under the name uncultured bacterium. RNAcentral's name for it is "partial 16S ribosomal RNA". It matches the Rfam family "Bacterial small subunit ribosomal RNA", at positions 30 to 507 of the family's 1533-position model. The record is from RNAcentral.